ACCCGAAACCCGGUGAUCUAGCCAUGGGCAGGUUGAAGGUUGGGUAACACUAACUGGAGGACCGAACCGACUAAUGUUGAAAAAUUAGCGGAUGACUUGUGGCUGGGGGGGAAAGGCCAAUCAAACCGGGAGAUAGCUGGUUCUCCCCGAAAGCUAUUUAGGUAGCGCCUCGUGAAUUCAUCUCCGGGGGUAGAGCACUGUUUCGGCAAGGGGGUCAUCCCGACUUACCAACCCGAUGCAAACUGCGAAUACCGGAGAAUGUUAUCACGGGAGACACACGGCGGGUGCUAACGUCCGUCGUGAAGAGGGAAACAACCCAGACCGCCAGCUAAGGUCCCA
This 339-nucleotide ribosomal RNA is filed under the name Escherichia coli 6-319-05_S1_C2. RNAcentral's name for it is "partial 16S ribosomal RNA". It matches the Rfam family "Bacterial large subunit ribosomal RNA", at positions 713 to 1049 of the family's 2925-position model. The record is from RNAcentral. Lineage: Bacteria; Pseudomonadati; Pseudomonadota; Gammaproteobacteria; Enterobacterales; Enterobacteriaceae.